Molecule: long non-coding RNA, 2224 nt
Filed under: Pan troglodytes (chimpanzee)
Lineage: Eukaryota; Metazoa; Chordata; Mammalia; Primates; Hominidae
Description: lincRNA
Source: RNAcentral
GGGGGCGGAGCGGCCGGGGUGCGCGGUAAAGAUGGGGCGGCGCGGCCGGGGCUCGCCAGCACCAGCCCUGGAACCCCACGGGGUCCUCGACAACAGCGCCUUUGCGGCGUGGGCCCCUUUCUGCAGCUCCUCCACCGGCGCGCUGUCGGCUCCGGGGCACUGGGGCUUUGAAGGGCGCCAGUUCCCAGCCGCACUUGCACGCCUAGGAGGGCGCAGGCCGCGUGUCCCUGUGGGAGGAAGGCCCCGGCAACCUGCAAAGACCUCACGUCACGGAAACUUGCGGCGUCGGCCCCCGAUGCGCGCGUCAGGUGCUCCGUCCCUUCCAGGUGGCAGAGAGGGAAGGGUCCCGCCAGGUGGGGGCCUGAGAGCCACCGGGCUGCGGUGCGCGAGUGUGGACACCGCCCCCGCCUUCUGCGUCUACAGCCCCGGGUUCCGGGACCUUUGGAAACCGCUUCGGAAGAAGCUGAGCAUCUCUUUCCCCACGCUGACCUCCCCCAUAGACUCCGGAUGGGGGUAAAUGAGGCUCCUGGGAAAUCCAGAAACUUCACUCUAGAGAAGCUUGUUUGCCAAACCUUGCUUUGGGCGGUGGAGACAGAAUAUCAUGUCCCGGAUCAGCGUGUGGUGACUGUGGAGGCAUUUACACACAGCGCACUCCAGCUCUGCCACUGGGCCGGCUGAGGUGGCUGCGGUACACGGCGCCCAUCCUGAGCCCCAGGUUCCUCACAUGUCAACAGCAUGAAAAGUGCCUCUAAGACAUCCACAGGUGUGCAGUGUUAAAGCAGGCAGCGCCUCAGCUUGGUCAGCUCCCUUAAGGACUGCGGCUCCCUUAGGACAAGGCUCUGUCCCUCAGAGCACUGAGUGCGAUCUCAUGCUGGCAUCUUAGAGACAUUGUAUUCACCAGGUGAGAUGGAUUCACAUCUGCUGGGCGCACGAACACUUCCUCCUUCCUUGCCACCAGCCAGCAUCACAACCAGCCUAGCCAGGCUCCCGUCCCAGCCCAGCCUAGCAGCUAACCCCAGCUCCAUCCCCCAGCAAGCCCCUCUGCCUGCGCCUCAGCUUCUUCAUGGAAGACGAGUCAGGUCAUGAUGCCACCAGGGAGCGUGUUUCCAUGUUGAACUGAGACACUAAGCCCUUGACAAAUGUUGGCCAAGAAAAAAAGGGGCUCCAAGAGGGGAGCUGUGGCUCAGGUAGAAGACGGUGAAUGAGCAUUGCCUGAAUCAGAGUUAGCUACUCUGGUUAUGCAGGUGUCCCCGGCGGGUUGGUCAAAAGCCCUUCCCUGAGUCCUGUGACAAGUGUGGGGAGGGAGGCAAAUCAAAGACCCCUACACACCUCCUGCAUGGAUGGCCAGAGCGCUGGUCCCACCUCCUUCCUUCCAAACUGCAACCCCGAUCAGCACAGCAGAGAAGUCUCCUGUGGCAGGGACCAGUAAUUCAGUGCUUCCCCUGGAGAGUCUGGGAUUGCACAGAACACCAGAGGCUGGGGAUUUAUUUGUUCACCAACAUUCAUUCAACAAACACUUACUGAGGCCAACACUGGGAAUGGAGACGAACUUCUCUGUCCUCAUGGAGCUUGCUUUCAAAAGGGAAGGAGGCAGACAGUAAACAAAACAAGCAAGUCAGUAUACAGCAUGAUGCAGAAAAGGUGUGAUGCCACCCUCUUGCCUGAGUUUAUAACAAGCAGAUGAUGUUGUCCUAAGAAUUAAUUUCAGCCGGUGAAAGAGUACAGGCAAAAAACGUGGUCUCGGACUUUCCGGUGAUGCUUAAGAACAUAGUUGCAGUUUUUGUUCUGAUUCUUUGUGCAUCUCGCGCUAAUGAAGGAUUCUGCCAUGAUUGCCACCUCUGGAGACGUCACAGCCAGCACAGCCAUGACCAGGGAUGAACUUGGCCAUUGUCCAGCAGCACCAUGGGAGGACCAGCUGCUGUAAGUGAAGGUCAUCAUCCAUUUGAUUUGCUGGCUUUUUGCCACUACUGCGGUGGAAGUCUUAGAGUAGCCACCUUCUCUGUACUCAGACCUUCACUUCGCCAGAUGUCAGCACAGCAGUGUCAGCAGCUUCGUCAAACACAAACACCACCACCUCUCUGGAUCAGAAGCACAUGGAAAGCCCACCUUGCAAGAAGACCCAGCUAUUCCAAAAGCACCCAUAUCCCUGUAGCAUCCUCUUAGCUGAAUGUCUCUACUCCUUAAACUUGUACCCCUUUGAAGAGUAAAAAUUUAAAUUCAUUCA